AUGGCAAACGGGUCCAGCAGUGCUCAGAGGAUGUUCAGGGUUAAGCAGCAACUUCACCUCCUCUUUUCCCCUCCCUGCGUGCAAAAAUCAUCUUUUCUUUUCCCGUUAGGCAGUUCUCAUCUAAUUUUCUGCUUCAUCCACCAGGCAGGCUUUUCCCCCUCAAAACGACUGUGGCAGCCUGAGCCGGUCUUUGUUCAGCCCAGAAGCCUGAUCCAGCAGGAAGUGGAUUCUUAUGGAGCAUUACUCUGCCUUACCAAAAAAUCCAGGCAUCCCCUUCUCCCAGCCCACGGGGCUGGGUGGAGUGAAAAAUCCACCAGGGCCCUCCAACCCCCUUCUUCCUCCCAGUGUCCUCAAAGCACCGCACUGGAGAGGAGCUCUGCAGAGCCUGGGAGGGCUGUGGGAUGGAUGGAUGGAUGGAUGGAUGGAUGGAUGGAUGGAUGGAUGGAUGGAUGGAUGGAUGGAUGGAAGGAUGCCCCUGGCCAAAACAGUGGUGGCUGUGAUGGAAACCAGAAGCCCUGUGGUCUGCGAGCCCGGCUGCCUUCCCAAGGCAUGCCAAGCAUUGCUGGCGCGCCUGUGUGUCCCACAGCAGCCUCCCGAGGCCAAAAAAAAACCCCAAAUCCUCUGAAUCGCUGUAUUUUCGGCAGCACAGGACCAGCGAGCCCGACAGCUUCUUGGAGCCGAGCACGGCGCAGAUUCCUCUUAGCAGUGUUUCGCUCUGCUGCUACCACGCACAGAGAGCGCCCGCUUCCAAGAGAGAGAGAGGGCUCCACGACGGAGCUGAAGGAGAAGGAGACAAAAACACCCCGUGGCAGCUCCUUCCACACACCCCUGUCCUCCAGCCUGCACUUCCAAAGGGCAGGAUUUGACAGGCAACAGGUCUUGGAGCUUCUUUUCCCCGGCCAUCUGCUCCCGAUGGCAGCAGCAGGCAGGCAGCCUCCUGCCACCCAUGCAGCUGGGGGACAGCGGCGCUGCCAUCCCCCCUCCAUCCCUCUGUCCCGGGGUCUCUUCCUGCUGGAGGCACGGCAGCAGGGUGGAAAGCUGUUCCUUUGCCAGGAUGGCAGCGUCACGCUGUCCAUAAACACCUUUGUCAGCCCCACCUCCAGCAUCACCCUCCGGAUUUCAGCCGCCCUCCUGCAGCCUCCGUGCAGCCCCGCGGGGAAAGACCCUCCAAGCGAGCUCCAAAUCCUCCCACCCAGUUGUUUUCCCAGCCAGAGGAGCACACCCGGGAGCAGGAUGAAGCCUGGAGAGCAGCCCCCCAGGCUCAGGGACAGGCUGGGCUCCCCCAGCAGCGCUGCUGGGGAUGGAUGAGAGGACCAGACGCUUCCAGGGUUUCAAACCCCCAUCCAAAACAAGCCCUCAACCCCCGCGCUGCAAAACCCGACACAAACAACACACACAUUCUUUGCUAUUAAGAGAGAAAAUUGUUUUCUGGGUGAUGCCUCUCCCUAAAAACCAGGCAAGGACAGGGAAGGGAGUGGAUGAUCACCGGGGCUGAGCACCCAUCUGGGCUCUCUCCUCUGCAGCGUCACAUGCCACCUCUACACAAGGCUCCUGGAGAAACACUAAUUACAGCUCUCCAGCUAAAAACUUUAUUAUACGCACACGUACCACACCAGCGUGCCUUGAGAGAGCUCCCCAGACUCAAACCGAGCCAGGUGGGUCAGGUUUAACUUGUUUUUUUUCUUCUUCAUUCCCUCCCUCCCUCCCAGUUUUAUUCCAACCCCCUGCAUGAACUUGGUGCACGCAAAAAUAAGAGGACAGAGCCAGGCACGAACACAGCGAUAUCCCCCCCUCCAGCUCCCCUCAGCAUCCAGGGAAAGCUUGGCCACGGCUAAACCCUAACCCACAGCAGCCUGGCUAAUCCAGCCUGGCUAAUCCAGCCUGGCUAAUCCAGCCUUCCCAAAACCCGGCAUCCCACGCCGUGCCGAGCUGCCCAUCCCUCCGGCACCGCUCCCAGCCAAGCAGGACACCAGUUGCCAGCUCUCAAACCUCUCCCUUCCCACCGAGGAGGGAGAGUUUCUCCUGGCUGGAGGACGCUGCUGCAGCAGCGUCCAGGCCCCUGGAUAAGUCAAUAGUGCCAUUCCUGUUUCCCAUUUGCCGAAGUACACUGGAUCUUUGUGUGGCGGAGGCGGAAAAAAUAUUAAUCUAAUUAGGCUCCCUCCCUAAAAUUCCUCGUCACCUUAAUUACGCUUCAGAAAAGAAGGCUUGGUUCAUUUUCCUAGAAAAUCAGCUUGUCAGGAGACGCUUUCAACUCCUUAACAAGACGGAUCUGUGCUUCGCGACGCGUCCCCGAGGGGCCGCGGGGAGCGAGAGAUCCCGAAUUCCCGCCGGGAUGACCUUGCCCAACACGGCUGUGGUCCCUCCCAGCCUCCAAAAACGCCAUCAAACUUUACAGGGCUCCCCUCCUGAGCUCUGCGCUCCAGCACAUCGUUCUACACCCGGAGAAUAAACACGGGCAGCUUCGCUUUGGCCA
Molecule: long non-coding RNA, 2473 nt
Organism: Parus major (Great Tit)
Lineage: Eukaryota; Metazoa; Chordata; Aves; Passeriformes; Paridae
Source: Ensembl